GCGCGAACUGGGUGAUCCUAUGCUGCCAAGAAAAGCCUCGACGCGAGGUUCUAGCCGCCCGUACCCCAAACCGACUCAGGUGGUCAGGUAGAGAAUACUAAGGCGAUCGAGAGAAUCGUGGUUAAGGAACUCGGCAAAAUGCCCCCGUAACUUCGGGAGAAGGGGGGCCCGAAGCGUGAACACCCUCGCGGUGGGAGCGUGGACGGCCGCAGAGACCAGGGAGAAGCGACUGUUUACUAAAAACACAGGUCCGUGCGAAGUCGCAAGACGAUGUAUACGGACUGACGCCUGCCCGGUGCUGGAAGGUUAAGAGGACGGGUCAACCCCUCGGGGUGAAGCUCAGAAUUUAAGCCCCAGUAAACGGCGGUGGUAACUAUAACCAUCCUAAGGUAGCGAAAUUCCUUGUCGGGUAAGUUCCGACCUGCACGAAUGGCGUAACGACUUCUCCGCUGUCUCAACCGCGAACUCGGCGAAAUUGCACUACGAGUAAAGAUGCUCGUUACGCGCAGCAGGACGGAAAGACCCCGGGACCUUUACUAUAGCUUGGUAUUGGUGUUCGGUGCGGCUUGUGUAGGAUAGGUGGGAGACUGUGAAGCCCGUACGCCAGUGCGGGUGGAGUCAACGUUGAAAUACCACUCUGGCCGCUUCGGAUGUCUAACCUCGGUCCGUGAUCCGGACCAGGGACAGUGCCUGGUGGGUAGUUUAACUGGGGCGGUUGCCUCCUAAAAUGUAACGGAGGCGCUCAAAGGUUCCCUCAGCCUGGUUGGCAAUCAGGUGUCGAGUGCAAGUGCACAAGGGAGCUUGACUGUGAGACUGACAGGUCGAGCAGGGACGAAAGUCGGAACUAGUGAUCCGGCGGUGGCUUGUGGAAGCGCCGUCGCUCAACGGAUAAAAGGUACCCCGGGGAUAACAGGCUGAUCUUGCCCAAGAGUCCAUAUCGACGGCAUGGUUUGGCACCUCGAUGUCGGCUCGUCGCAUCCUGGGGCUGGAGUAGGUCCCAAGGGUUGGGCUGUUCGCCCAUUAAAGCGGUACGCGAGCUGGGUUUAGAACGUCGUGAGACAGUUCGGUCCCUAUCCGCUGCGCGCGCAGGAAACUUGAGAAGGGCUGUCCCUAGUACGAGAGGACCGGGACGGACGAACCUCUGGUGUGCCAGUUGUUCCGCCAGGAGCACCGCUGGUUGGCUACGUUCGGAAGGGAUAACCGCUGAAAGCAUCUAAGCGGGAAGCCUGCUUCAAGAUGAGGUUUCCAACCCCUACGGGGGGAGAGGCACCCAGCAGAACACUGGGUCGAUAGGCCGGACGUGGAAGCGGGGACGAAAGACCCGUGCAGCUGACCGGUACUAAUCAGCCGACAACUUCAACA
RNAcentral lists this ribosomal RNA (1362 nucleotides) under Cellulosimicrobium cellulans J1. RNAcentral describes it as "bacterial LSU rRNA". It matches the Rfam family "Bacterial large subunit ribosomal RNA", at positions 1583 to 2925 of the family's 2925-position model. RNAcentral also lists the same sequence under 1 other name. The record is from RNAcentral. Lineage: Bacteria; Bacillati; Actinomycetota; Actinomycetes; Micrococcales; Promicromonosporaceae.